Molecule: long non-coding RNA, 878 nt
Filed under: Cercocebus atys (sooty mangabey)
Lineage: Eukaryota; Metazoa; Chordata; Mammalia; Primates; Cercopithecidae
Description: lncRNA (ENSCATG00000045459.1)
Source: RNAcentral
CAGAGAGCCCAUGGGUUCAGGUGGGGAAGCAGAUGAAUGUCCCCAAAAGCCUUCCUCAUUCAUUUUGGACUCACUGACUGCAAGCAGCUUAAAGUCCUUGCAAAGAAAGAAGUUGUGCCCUGUCUCUCAGCAUUGACCACAGCAGAGAGCCUAGGAUGUGAAUGGGUGUCAAUAUUCAUCUGCUGAAUGAAUAGCUGCAGAUGAAGAGAUUGCUUCGCUUCAAACCUCCUGACUGCCAUGGAACCAUCUGGCACGUGCACGUGUGUGGCGAGGUGAGACACCAGCUAACACUAAAGUCUUCAGCUGGUCAUAACCUUGAAGCAUAUUCCCAUUCAGGAAAAUCUUCUCUUAGGAACGAGAAUGAGGAAAAACAAAGAUGGUGAAGGACUGAAAAAAACUUCUUUAUUUUAGAACGUCUUAAAAACAUGUAAAGGAGAAGGGGAAAAUGACCCAGAGUACCGUUACCUAAAGGCAAUUAUUAUGAGUAUUUUAGUUUAUAUCCUUCUAAUCUGAUUGUUUUCUGUAUAUUUUAUUUUAUAAAAUAGUUGCACUUGCAUUCUUUCUAAAAUGGUGUGUGUAUGUGUGUGCACAUGCGCGUGUAUUGGCUGUUUGUUUUUACUUAGUGCUAUUCAUCAGAAGUGAUAUAGCAAAAUGGUCAUGAAUGUAUAAAUGUGAAGGCAGUGUGUGGGUUCAAAUCCUGAGUUCCCCAUCUUUGCAAACUUGGGAAUGUGAUUCAGUUUCUUUAAAUCUCUUUUCUCUCCCCAGAUAUGAGUAUAACAAUUAUAUGCACUUCAGCGAGCUGUUAGAAAAAUCCAAUGAGUAAGUAUGUUAAGCAAUCACAUAUUAUGUAUACCUGACGUAUAGCAGAUGCUCAAUAA